AUUGAACGCUGGCGGCAGGCUUAACACAUGCAAGUCGAUCGGGGGAAGGUAGCUUGCUACUGGACCUAGUGGCGGACGGGUGAGUAAUGCUUAGGAAUCUGCCUAUUAGUGGGGGACAACAUCUCGAAAGGGAUGCUAAUACCGCAUACGUCCUACGGGAGAAAGCAGGGGAUCUUCGGACCUUGCGCUAAUAGAUGAGCCUAAGUCGGAUUAGCUAGUUGGUGGGGUAAAGGCCUACCAAGGCGAAGAUCUGUAGCGGGUCUGAGAGGAUGAUCCGCCACACUGGGGCUGGGGCACGGCCCAGACUCCUACGGGAGGCAGCAGUGGGGAAUAUUGGACAAUGGGGGGAACCCUGAUCCAGCCAUGCCGCGUGUGUGAAGAAGGCCUUAUGGUUGUAAAGCACUUUAAGCGAGGAGGAGGCUACUCUAGUUAAUACCUAGGGAUAGUGGACGUUACUCGCAGAAUAAGCACCGGCUAACUCUGUGCCAGCCGCCGCAGUAA
Molecule: ribosomal RNA, 501 nt
Filed under: uncultured bacterium
Lineage: Bacteria
Description: partial 16S ribosomal RNA
Rfam family: Bacterial small subunit ribosomal RNA
Source: RNAcentral